GAUGAACGCUGGCGGCGUGCCUAAUACAUGCAAGUCGAGCGAACAGACGAGGAGCUUGCUCCUCUGACGUUAGCGGCGGACGGGUGAGUAACACGUGGAUAACCUACCUAUAAGACUGGGAUAACUUCGGGAAACCGGAGCUAAUACCGGAUAAUAUAUUGAACCGCAUGGCUCAAUAGUGAAAGACGGUUUUGCUGUCACUUAUAGAUGGAUCCGCGCCGCAUUAGCUAGUUGGUAAGGUAACGGCUUACCAAGGCAACGAUGCGUAGCCGACCUGAGAGGGUGAUCGGCCACACUGGAACUGAGACACGGUCCAGACUCCUACGGGAGGCAGCAGUAGGGAAUAUUCCGCAAUGGGCGAAAGCUUGACGGAGCAACGCCGCGUGAGUGAUGAAGGUCUUCGGAUCGUAAAACUCUGUUAUUAGGGAAGAACAAAUGUGUAAGUAACUAUGCACGUCUUGACGGUACCUAAUCAGAAAGCCACGGCUAACUACGUG
This 497-nucleotide ribosomal RNA is filed under the name uncultured bacterium. RNAcentral describes it as "partial 16S ribosomal RNA". It matches the Rfam family "Bacterial small subunit ribosomal RNA", at positions 28 to 507 of the family's 1533-position model. The record is from RNAcentral.